AGUGAACGCUGGCGGUAGGCCUAACACAUGCCAGUCGAACGGCAGCACAGUAAGAGCUUGCUCUUACGGGUGGCGAGUGGCGGACGGGUGAGGAAUACAUCGGAAUCUACUUUUUCGUGGGGGAUAACGUAGGGAAACUUACGCUAAUACCGCAUACGACCUACGGGUGAAAGCAUGGGAUCUUCGGACCUUGCGCGAUUGAAUGAGCCGAUGUCGGAUUAGCUAGUUGGCGGGGUAAAGGCCCACCAAGGCGACGAUCCGUAGCUGGUCUGAGAGGAUGAUCAGCCACACUGGAACUGAGACACGGUCCAGACUCCUACGGGAGGCAGCAGUGGGGAAUAUUGGACAAUGGGCGCAAGCCUGAUCCAGCCAUGCCGCGUGGGUGAAGAAGGCCUUCGGGUUGUAAAGCACUUUUGUUGGGAAAGAAAAGCAGCAGGUUAAUACCCCGCUGUUCUGACGGUACCCAAAGAAUAAGCACCGGCUAACUUCGUG
RNAcentral lists this ribosomal RNA (492 nucleotides) under uncultured bacterium. Its description in RNAcentral is "partial 16S ribosomal RNA". It matches the Rfam family "Bacterial small subunit ribosomal RNA", at positions 29 to 507 of the family's 1533-position model. The record is from RNAcentral.